UGGGGAAUAUUGCGCAAUGGACGAAAGUCUGACGCAGCAACGCCGCGUGAGUGACGAAGGCCUUCGGGUCGUAAAGCUCUGUCGCCUGGGACGAACCCCUCGUUUAACAAACGAGACUGACGGUACCAGGAAAGGAAGCACCGGCUAACUCCGUGCCAGCAGCCGCGGUAAUACGGAGGGUGCAAACGUUGUUCGGAAUUAUUGGGCGUAAAGGGCGCGCAGGCGGUGGCGUAUGUCCGGUGUGAAAUCCCAUCUCUUAAAGAUGGAACUGCGCUGGAAACUACGUCGCUUGAGUCCCGGAGGGGAUAGCGGAAUUCCCGGUGUAGAGGUGAAAUUCGUAGAUAUCGGGAGGAACACCCGUGGCGAAGGCGGCUAUCUGGACGGUGACUGACGCUGAGGCGCGAAAGCGUGGGGAGCAAACAGGAUUAGAUACCCCCGUAGUCC
Molecule: ribosomal RNA, 444 nt
Filed under: uncultured prokaryote
Description: bacterial SSU rRNA
Rfam family: Bacterial small subunit ribosomal RNA
Source: RNAcentral